Molecule: unclassified non-coding RNA, 308 nt
Filed under: plant metagenome
Description: partial contains 5.8S ribosomal RNA, internal transcribed spacer 2, and large subunit ribosomal RNA
Rfam family: 5.8S ribosomal RNA (bases 1-105)
Source: RNAcentral
GAAAUGCGAUAAGUAGUGUGAAUUGCAGAAUUCAGUGAAUCAUCGAAUCUUUGAACCCACAUUGCGCCCUUUGGUAUUCCAAAGGGCAUGCCUGUUCGAGCGUCAUUUGUACCCUCAAGCUUUGCUUGGUGUUGGGCGUCUUGUCUCUAGCUUUGCUGGAGACUCGCCUUAAAGUAAUUGGCAGCCGGCCUACUGGUUUCGGAGCGCAGCACAAGUCGCACUCUCUAUCAGCAAAGGUCUAGCAUCCAUUAAGCCUUUUUUUCAACUUUUGACCUCGGAUCAGGUAGGGAUACCCGCUGAACUUAAGC